AAAAAGACAAACCUGGUUUCCAUGUCCAACGUUUAACCGUUCGUCUUAUUUAAAAAAAUUAUGAAAAAAAAUUAAAAAGAUAAGUCACGCAUAAAAUAUUAAUCAUGUUUUAUCAUCUAACAACAAUAAAAAAUACUAAUUAUAAAAAAAUUUCAUAUAAGACGGACAGUCAAAUGUUGGCACACACUUCUA
RNAcentral lists this microRNA precursor (192 nucleotides) under Oryza glumipatula. Its description in RNAcentral is "MIR812 microRNA precursor family". It matches the Rfam family "MIR812 microRNA precursor family". Lineage: Eukaryota; Viridiplantae; Streptophyta; Magnoliopsida; Poales; Poaceae. The record is from Rfam by way of RNAcentral.